CAGUAGCGUAUAUUAAAGUUGUUGCAGUUAAAAAGCUCGUAGUUGGACGUCUCUUCAGAAGCUCUCACGAGUGUUCUGGAGAUCUGCCUAACAGCUCCAUAUGGCGUUCACUCGUCGAUGGUGAGAUGUGGGCCCUUACCUUGAGGAAACUAGAGUGUUUAAGGCAGGCUUCUGCCCGAAUACCGCAGCUGGGAAUAAUGCGCUCGAAAUGUCUUGGCGAGACACUUCGAUUUCAUUAAUAGGGACAGUUGGGGACAUUCGUACUCAGCAGUCAGAGGUGAAAUUCUUGGAUUUGCUGAAGACGGACUAGUGCGAAAGCAUUUGCCAAAGAUGUUUUCAUUAA
Molecule: ribosomal RNA, 343 nt
Filed under: uncultured eukaryote
Lineage: Eukaryota
Description: partial 18S ribosomal RNA
Rfam family: Eukaryotic small subunit ribosomal RNA
Source: RNAcentral